UGCUUGGUUGAGUCUACUCCCUUGGCCCUCCUCCCAUGCUGUCGCCUGCAUGUAGUGCUGGGUUUACCUCUUCUGGGACCUGUGAGUACAGUAAAUCUCUUUCACUUUCAUGUGCCUCUCUAUGGUGUUAUUCUGUGUCUGUACGAGGCUGAUCAACCAAAAAAACCAUUUUAAGUAAUAGAGGUAUUCCUUACAACACACAAACACUAAAAUAAAUAUAUAGAUCUAGAUUUACACCAUACCAAAAAUGAUGAAACUGCUGUAGCACAAGCACUGACUACUCUCUAUAAACUCCAAGGCAGGACAACUCAGCCUCUGUUCCCACACACCUGUCCUAUCAUUUCCCAUGUUUGCCAGGGGCCCUUACAGCUGGUGGCAGGGAAGCUUGGAGCAUCUUGCAAGCCACAGCACAUGGGCCGUGGCACAGCUGGCUGGUUUCCCAAGGAGCCAGCAGGAACAGAAUUGGUGAAGACCUGAAAGAGUUAGAUGACCCUCAAACCUGGCUUUACCUGUCCCUAGAGGCUUCAUCUACUUACAUUGCCUUCUGAGCAGACGUUUGAGUUUGUAACCCCUGAUUCUAAAAUGUUUUUGCCAUUCAGCCUUGUUAAGAUGGUCUCAAAUACCUCUACUACGCAUCUACUUACUUUCUCAAGGACUUCUGACAGAAGCAAACUGCUGCUCCCUUUCCUGCAGUCGAAGUAGAAAGUACAGGUGAUAAAUGGCAGCACAGGAACUUGGACCUCGAUUUAUCUGAUAUCAAGGCCCAUGUUCUGUCCAAGACUCCAUGCUGCCCCUCUUGUACCUAAGCACUGCUGCCUCCCUGAAUCACUGACCACUAAAAAGGCAGAAUAGAAUAGGAAAGAUGUUCUAAUAUCCAGACACCUGGAUUCUCAGCCUGGUUCCAGAACUUACAAGCUUUGUAAGCCUAAGGCUCAACACAUACCAUGUCAUCAACAACCCACUCCUCUCAAAGUGAGAAUGAUUACAAUAAGGGCCAGUGGCCCAAGGUAGGGGAGUGUAAGCCAUAAUGAUGUUUGGUCUCUGGUCUUCCCCUGGUUUAAGGAACGUAAGUAUAAAAAAGCACUGUUAUGAAUUGAACUGUGCCCACCCCCACUUCCCCCAUUCAUAUGUUGAAGUUCUAAUUCCCAGGACCACAGAAUGCAACAGAAUUGGAAAUAGGGUCUUUGCAGACGCAAUUAGUUAAGAUGAAAUUAUACUGCAGUAGAGUGGGCCCCUAAUCGAAUAUGACUGGUGUCCUUAUUAAAAGAUUUCAUGCUUAUGAAAACAUCUGGGCACAGAGAGAACGCAUGUGAGGAUGAAGAGAAAAAGUGGGGUGAUGCUUCUACAAUGUCACAGAUUGCCAGCAAACCACCAGAAGUAGAGAGAGACACAGAACAGAAUCUUCCUCACAGCUCUCAGCAGGGACCAAUUUUAACUACACCUUGAUCUCAGACCUUGAGCUUCCAGAACUGCAAGACAAUCAAUUUCUGUUUUGUAAGCCAUUCAGUUCAUGGUGCUUUGUUACAGGAGUUGUAGAAAACGAAUACUAGAUGGGCUCUAGGGGAGUAUCUCUAGAACAUUUCAUGCUGCUCGUCUUUGUAAACCAUUACAGGAUGUAUUGGUCAGCCUUUGCAGCAAUAAUGGUGCAUUACUAAGUACCUCGAAGCUUAGUAGCUUAAAUUCCAAACACUUAUUUUUCACUUGUGGGUCUGUGGUUGUGGAGCUGCUCGAUGCUGCUGGGGUGUGCUAGACUUGAGAGCAUGUGGGAAAGAUCCAGGUCUCUCUGUCUUCUCGUUUUGGGGACAAGACUGAAGGAGCAGCCACUGUUGUUUGCAGGUGGACAGUACGAGUUCAGAAGGUUGAGUCAAAACAUGCAAGUGGAUAUACUGAGUAUGUCCACUCACAUGCCAUUGGCCAAAGCAAGUCCUAAGACCAAGCCCAAAGUCAGCUGAGGAGGGGUGGGGCUAGUGGCUAGUGGAGUCAGCAAAGUACUCUACCUAGACAAGUAUGAACAAAUAAUUACUAACAAAUAAUACAGUCUACUGCACAGUCCCUAAGGCCUAGAAGAAGUGUGUUUGUUUGUUUUAUAAGAUAUAUAUAUAUAGACAUAUUUGUAUUAAUUAAAAUCUGCAGAAGUUCUCUAAACCAUCACUUUGUUCGAUUUUCCUGAAAUGCCCUCCCGACCUCUGUCUCCCCUUUUCUCCUUUCUUUCAAGACCUGCAUUGCCUGGCAUGGAGCUUUGCAUACAUCAAGCAGUCAAUAAAUGCUUGUUAAAUUUAUGGUUGAAUUUAACCUUUUCUUCCUGAUGUGACUUGUAAAAAAGUAGCCUUUCAAAGAACAGGCAUUCAAAAAAAAAUGACUGAAUUGAAUUGAGGACAGGAAAAAGAACAGCUCUUUGAAUAUAGCUGUUGAUGGAGACCCAGACAACCUUGUCUGAUUCAAGGAUUACAAACCAGAAAACCAGAAUGCCAUCCUACUGCAAUUUUCUAAUGUCUUUAAGAGCCAAUAACUUAGCCCCAAUUAAUUAAAAUCUGUCUUUUUUAUUUG
Molecule: long non-coding RNA, 2547 nt
Organism: Lagenorhynchus albirostris (white-beaked dolphin)
Lineage: Eukaryota; Metazoa; Chordata; Mammalia; Artiodactyla; Delphinidae
Exons: 3
Source: RefSeq, a predicted model, not a curated record